Molecule: ribosomal RNA, 420 nt
Filed under: Triticum aestivum (bread wheat)
Lineage: Eukaryota; Viridiplantae; Streptophyta; Magnoliopsida; Poales; Poaceae
Description: partial small subunit ribosomal RNA
Source: RNAcentral
AUGCGUGCGUGCUGGCCUGUUGGGCUUCAGUUGUUUUGGGUUAUGGGCUUUUACUGGGUUGCGGAGGAGUGCCGCCGGAGGAAGUCGGCGGCGGCGGCGUUCAACCGCAAGGGCUGGCGGCAGGUCAUGGAGGGCGGCCAGCUGCCGGCGAGCAGCUCUGAGAAGAGGGAGGUAAGCUGCGGGGAGCACCGGGAGGAAGGAGAGAGUAGUCGGGAAAGGAGGACGGCGAAGCGUUUCCGUCGGGUCCGCCACCAGCAAUUGCUCGUCGGAGAGGCCGGAAUCAGUUGUCAACGUCGGUCGGGUGGAAGUUUUUUGGUCAGUGUUCGUAUGAGACAUCAACGGAUGGCCGCAUCUACUUCAACCAGGGCUGGAAGGAGUUCCUCAUUGGGACUGGUCUUGGGGUUGGCACAACUGUGCUAA